Molecule: unclassified non-coding RNA, 225 nt
Filed under: uncultured Mycena
Lineage: Eukaryota; Fungi; Basidiomycota; Agaricomycetes; Agaricales; Tricholomataceae
Description: sequence contains ITS1
Source: RNAcentral
UUGAAUAACUUGGUGUUGAGCUGGCCCUAUUGGGUAUGUGCUCGCAUCAUAUUAUUUACUAUCUCUUGUGCACCUUUUGUAGUCUUUGAAGUGUUCGCAGUCAAUGCGGUUUUGGGGCUUGGGCUUUGCUGCUCUUUUCCCUGUUCGCUUCAAAGGCUAUGUUUUUAUACACACUAUUGAAGUUACAGAAUGUCUCUUAUUGACUUUCGAGUCAGUAAAUCUAUA